GGCAGUCGAGCGGGGAAGGGUAGCUUGCUACCUGACCUAGCGGCGGACGGGUGAGUAAUGCUUAGGAAUCUGCCUAUUAGUGGGGGACAACAUUCCGAAAGGAAUGCUAAUACCGCAUACGCCCUACGGGGGAAAGCAGGGGAUCUUCGGACCUUGCGCUAAUAGAUGAGCCUAAGUCAGAUUAGCUAGUUGGUGGGGUAAAGGCCUACCAAGGCGACGAUCUGUAGCGGGUCUGAGAGGAUGAUCCGCCACACUGGGACUGAGACACGGCCCAGACUCCUACGGGAGGCAGCAGUGGGGAAUAUUGGACAAUGGGCGAAAGCCUGAUCCAGCCAUGCCGCGUGUGUGAAGAAGGCCUUUUGGUUGUAAAGCACUUUAAGCGAGGAGGAGGCUACUUGGAUUAAUACUCUAGGAUAGUGGACGUUACUCGCAGAAUAAGCACCGGCUAACUCUGUGCCAGCAGCCGCGGUAAUACAGAGGGUGCGAGCGUUAAUCGGAUUUACUGGGCGUAAAGCGUGCGUAGGCGGCUUCUUAAGUCGGAUGUGAAAUCCCUGAGCUUAACUUAGGAAUUGCAUUCGAUACUGGGAAGCUAGAGUAUGGGAGAGGAUGGUAGAAUUCCAGGUGUAGCGGUGAAAUGCGUAGAGAUCUGGAGGAAUACCGAUGGCGAAGGCAGCCAUCUGGCCUAAUACUGACGCUGAGGUACGAAAGCAUGGGGAGCAAACAGGAUUAGAUACCCUGGUAGUCCAUGCCGUAAACGAUGUCUACUAGCCGUUGGGGCCUUUGAGGCUUUAGUGGCGCAGCUAACGCGAUAAGUAGACCGCCUGGGGAGUACGGUCGCAAGACUAAAACUCAAAUGAAUU
RNAcentral lists this ribosomal RNA (860 nucleotides) under Acinetobacter johnsonii. Its description in RNAcentral is "bacterial SSU rRNA". It matches the Rfam family "Bacterial small subunit ribosomal RNA", at positions 57 to 911 of the family's 1533-position model. The record is from RNAcentral. Lineage: Bacteria; Pseudomonadati; Pseudomonadota; Gammaproteobacteria; Moraxellales; Moraxellaceae.